AAUUCGAUGCAACGCGAAGAACCUUACCAAGGCUUGACAUGAACCGGAAAGGCGUAGAAAUACGUCCCCCACUUGUGGUCGGUUUACAGGUGGUGCAUGGUUGUCGUCAGCUCGUGUCGUGAGAUGUUGGGUUAAGUCCCGCAACGAGCGCAACCCUCGUUCUAUGUUGCCAGCACGUGAUGGUGGGGACUCAUAGGAGACUGCCGGGGUCAACUCGGAGGAAGGUGGGGAUGACGUCAAAUCAUCAUGCCCCUUAUGUCUUGGGCUUCACGCAUGCUACAAUGGCCGGUACAAAGGGUUGCGAUACUGUGAGGUGGAGCUAAUCCCAAAAAGCCGGUCUCAGUUCGGAUUGGGGUCUGCAACUCGACCCCAUGAAGUCGGAGUCGCUAGUAAUCGCAGAUCAGCAACGCUGCGGUGAAUACGUUCCCGGGCCUUGUACACACCGCCCGUCAAGUCACGAAAGUUGGUAACACCCGAAGCCGGUGGCCUAA
Molecule: ribosomal RNA, 491 nt
Filed under: uncultured Arthrobacter sp.
Lineage: Bacteria; Bacillati; Actinomycetota; Actinomycetes; Micrococcales; Micrococcaceae
Description: bacterial SSU rRNA
Rfam family: Bacterial small subunit ribosomal RNA
Source: RNAcentral